This 253-nucleotide ribosomal RNA is filed under the name uncultured bacterium. RNAcentral's name for it is "partial 16S ribosomal RNA". It matches the Rfam family "Bacterial small subunit ribosomal RNA", at positions 524 to 776 of the family's 1533-position model. The record is from RNAcentral.
UACAGAGGGUGCGAGCGUUAAUCGGAAUUACUGGGCGUAAAGCGUGCGUAGACGGUUAUGUAAGUCGGGUGUGAAAGCCCCGGGCUCAACCUGGGAAUUGCAUUCGAGACUGCGUAGCUAGGGUGCGGAAGAGGGAAGCGGAAUUUCCGGUGUAGCGGUGAAAUGCGUAGAUAUCGGGAGGAACACCUGUGGCGAAAGCGGCGCACUGGACCACAACUGACGCUGAGGCGCGAAAGCUAGGGGAGCGAACAGG